This 501-nucleotide ribosomal RNA is filed under the name uncultured bacterium. RNAcentral describes it as "partial 16S ribosomal RNA". It matches the Rfam family "Bacterial small subunit ribosomal RNA", at positions 30 to 523 of the family's 1533-position model. The record is from RNAcentral.
AUUGAACGCUGGCGGCAGGCUUAACACAUGCAAGUCGAGCGGAGAGAGGUAGCUUGCUACUGAUCUUAGCGGCGGACGGGUGAGUAAUGCUUAGGAAUCUGCCUAUUAGUGGGGGACAACAUUUCGAAAGGAAUGCUAAUACCGCAUACGUCCUACGGGAGAAAGCAGGGGAUCUUCGGACCUUGCGCUAAUAGAUGAGCCUAAGUCGGAUUAGCUAGUUGGUGGGGUAAGGGCCUACCAAGGCGACGAUCUGUAGCGGGUCUGAGAGGAUGGUCCGCCACACUGGGACUGAGACACGGCCCAGACUCCUACGGGAGGCAGCAGUGGGGAAUAUUGGACAAUGUGCGCAAGCCUGAUCCAGCCAUGCCGCGUGUGUGAAGAAGGCCUUAUGGUUGUAAAGCACUUUAAGCGAGGAGGAGGCUACUUUAGAUAAUACCUAGAGAUAGUGGACGUUACUCGCAGAAUAAGCACCGGCUAACUCUGUGCCAGCCGCCGCGGUAA